Molecule: ribosomal RNA, 433 nt
Filed under: uncultured bacterium
Lineage: Bacteria
Description: partial 16S ribosomal RNA
Rfam family: Bacterial small subunit ribosomal RNA
Source: RNAcentral
AACGAACGCUGGCGGCAUGCCUAACACAUGCAAGUCGAACGAGACCUUCGGGUCUAGUGGCGCACGGGUGCGUAACGCGUGGGAACCUGCCCUUAGGUUCGGAAUAACUCCCCGAAAGGGGUGCUAAUACCGGAUAAUGUCUUCGGACCAAAGAUUUAUCGCCUUUGGAUGGGCCCGCGUUGGAUUAGCUAGUUGGUAGGGUAAAAGCCUACCAAGGCGACGAUCCAUAGCUGGUCUGAGAGGAUGAUCAGCCACACUGGGACUGAGACACAGCCCAGACUCCUACGGGAGGCAGCAGUGGGGAAUAUUGGACAAGGGGCGAAAGCCUGAUACAGCAAUGCCGCGUGAGUGAUGAAGGCCUUAGGGUUGUAAAGCUCUUUUACCCGGGAUGAUAAUGACAGUACCGGGAGAAUAAGCUCCGGCUAACUCCGUG